GACGAACGCUGGCGGCGUGCUUAACACAUGCAAGUCGAACGGAAAGGCCCUGCUUUUGUGGGGUGCUCGAGUGGCUAACGGGUGAGUAACACGUGAGUAACCUGCCCUUGACUUUGUGAUAACUUCAGGAAACUUGGGCUAAUACCGGAUAGGAGCUCCUGCUGCAUGGUGGGGGUUGGAAAGUUUCGGCGGUUGGGGAUUGACUCGCGGCUUAUCAGCUUGUUGGUGGGGUAGUGGCUUACGAAGGCUUUGACGGGUAGCCGGCCUGAGAGGGUGACGGGGCAAAUUGGGACUGAAAGACGGACCAGAAUCGAACGGGAGGCAGCAGUGGGGAAAAUUGCACAAUGGGGGGAAGCCUGAUGCAGCAAAGCCGCGUGCGGGAUGACGGCCUACGGGUUGUAAAGCGCUUUCGCAGGAGACGAAGCGUGAGUGACGGUAAUGGGUAAAGAAGCACCGGCUAACUACGUG
This 468-nucleotide ribosomal RNA is filed under the name uncultured bacterium. Its description in RNAcentral is "partial 16S ribosomal RNA". It matches the Rfam family "Bacterial small subunit ribosomal RNA", at positions 28 to 507 of the family's 1533-position model. The record is from RNAcentral.